RNAcentral lists this RNase P RNA (204 nucleotides) under Blastocatellia bacterium. RNAcentral's name for it is "partial RNase P RNA component class A". It matches the Rfam family "Bacterial RNase P class A", at positions 194 to 367 of the family's 367-position model. From Rfam's summary of the family: Ribonuclease P (RNase P) is a ubiquitous endoribonuclease, found in archaea, bacteria and eukarya as well as chloroplasts and mitochondria. Its best characterised activity is the generation of mature 5'-ends of tRNAs by cleaving the 5'-leader elements of precursor-tRNAs. Lineage: Bacteria; Pseudomonadati; Acidobacteriota; Blastocatellia. The record is from RNAcentral.
AGAUGCGGCUAGGCAAACUCCUCGCGGUGCAAGACCAAAUAGGAGAGCGUUUUGAGAGUGGUCCGCUCGAAUCCCGGCCUUAGGUCGGGAGACGCUUUCGGGUAGGUCGCUUGAGCGAUUCGGUAACGAAUCGCCUAGAUGAAUGAUUGCCACCGUCUUCUCAGCAAGGCGGUACAGAAUUCGGCUUACAGACUUGCCUCUUUU